Molecule: ribosomal RNA, 253 nt
Filed under: uncultured bacterium
Lineage: Bacteria
Description: partial 16S ribosomal RNA
Rfam family: Bacterial small subunit ribosomal RNA
Source: RNAcentral
UACGGGGGGAGCAAACGUUGUUCGGAAUCACUGGGCGUAAAGGGCGUGUAGGCGGCUGGAUAAGUGGGAUGUUAAAUCCCCCGGCUCAACCGGGGACCUGCAUCUCAUACUGUUCAGCUCGAGCACAUCAGAGGAGACUGGAAUUCCCGGUGUAGCGGUGAAAUGCGUAGAUAUUGGGAGGAACACCAGUGGCGAAGGCGGCUCACUGGACCGGUACUGACGCUGAGGCGCGAAAGCGUGGGGAGCAAACGGG